Molecule: ribosomal RNA, 604 nt
Filed under: Lactarius fallax
Lineage: Eukaryota; Fungi; Basidiomycota; Agaricomycetes; Russulales; Russulaceae
Description: eukaryotic LSU rRNA
Rfam family: Eukaryotic large subunit ribosomal RNA
Source: RNAcentral
UUGACCUCAAAUCGGGUGAGACUACCCGCUGAACUUAAGCAUAUCAAUAAGCGGAGGAAAAGAAACUAACAAGGAUUCCCCUAGUAACUGCGAGUGAAGCGGGAAAAGCUCAAAUUUAAAAUCUGGCGGUCCUUGGCUGUCCGAGUUGUAAUUUAGAGAAGCGUCUUCCGCGCCGGACCGUGCACAAGUCUCCUGGAAUGGAGCGUCGUAGAGGGUGAGAAUCCCGUCUUUGGCAUGGAUGCCCGGUGCUUCUGUGAUGCGCUCUCAAAGAGUCGAGUUGUUUGGGAAUGCAGCUCAAAAUGGGUGGUGAACUCCAUCUAAAGCUAAAUAUUGGCGAGAGACCGAUAGCGAACAAGUACCGUGAGGGAAAGAUGAAAAGCACUUUGGAAAGAGAGUGAAACAGUACGUGAAAUUGUUGAAAGGGAAACGCUUGAAGUCAGUCGCGUCGUCCGAGACUCAGCCUUGCCUCGGCUUGGUGUACUUCUCGGCUCGACGGGUCAGCAUGAAUUUUGCACCUCGGAUAAUGGCAAGGGAAAGGUGGCACCUUUGCGGGUGUGUUAUAGUCUCGUGUCGCAUGCGAGGGGUGAGAUUGAGGAACUCAGCG